Molecule: transfer RNA, 72 nt
Filed under: Camelus bactrianus (Bactrian camel)
Lineage: Eukaryota; Metazoa; Chordata; Mammalia; Artiodactyla; Camelidae
Also listed under: 1 other name
Rfam family: tRNA
About the family: Transfer RNA (tRNA) molecules are approximately 80 nucleotides in length. Their secondary structure includes four short double-helical elements and three loops (D, anti-codon, and T loops).
Source: Rfam by way of RNAcentral
AGAGCUGGGGCUCAGUGGUAGAGUGCGUGCUUACUACGCGUGAGGUCCUGGGUUCCACGCCCAGUACCUCCA